Hevea brasiliensis (rubber tree) is the source of this 872-nucleotide RNA transcript. RefSeq lists it as uncharacterized. The record is from RefSeq and is a predicted model, not a curated record. The transcript is spliced from 2 exons. NCBI's taxonomy places the organism in Eukaryota, Viridiplantae, Streptophyta, Magnoliopsida, Malpighiales, Euphorbiaceae.
UUUGUAUUUUUAAAAUAUUUAUAUAAGAUAUUCAUGUAAGAAAAUUUGAAUUAAACUAAUAUUUAUAAUUUUAACUUAAAAUUCUUAUGCAACAAUAGUGAGAAUUAUAAUUUAUAAUUAAUUUCUUUUUUAUUUGAAUUAGAGGUAUUUACUAUCUUGUGAAUUAUAAUAGCUGAGAGUGUUGAGUUAGAUUUGUGGGUUUAAGAUCUUCGAAAUCGAAAGGAUAGGGUAGAAUAGAAAUUGAAUUGAAGAUAUGGGUUCUCGAGGAGCCAACAUGUUGAUUUCUAGGGCAAACAGAAUGAAAACGAAGCUGCAAUCUGCUUUGGAAGCUACCACUAUAGAAAUCGAGGACGUUUCGCAUCAGCACGCUGGCCACGCUGCCGUCAAAACCAAUAAUGUUGAGACCCAUUUCAAUUUGAAGAUUGUCUCGCCCAAAUUCAAUGGUCACACCCUCCUUAAGCGCCACCGCAUGGUCUAUGAUGCACUUGCGGAUGAGCUUCAAUCUGGAUUGCAUGCUCUCUCCAUUGUGGCCAAGACUCCCCAGGAGGAAGAAGCUGCUUCUCGCAGAUAACCACUCAUUGCAGCUAUUGUUCGGAUCAGAGGUUGUCAAUGAUGAUAUGUUUGGAUAGCAGAACUGAAGAAAGUUUGCACUAUCAAUAUAAGCAGGCCAGUUUUCCUGUAAUGGGAUAAAUAAGGGUCUCCUUUCAUUCUUAAGAUUUUUGUUUGUGUUAUUGGCGAGGAUCAUUGAACCGAAAAGAAGUCUCUAUGGUUGGUGAAGGAUUUGGUCCAUAGAUACCUUCUGCAUGAACACAUGCAUGGCAUAUUUGCAUUCAUCAACCCAGCUAUUUGUAGACCAUGUUGUUUCAACUUUA